Molecule: ribosomal RNA, 253 nt
Filed under: uncultured bacterium
Lineage: Bacteria
Description: partial 16S ribosomal RNA
Rfam family: Bacterial small subunit ribosomal RNA
Source: RNAcentral
UACGUAGGGUGCGAGCGUUAAUCGGAAUUACUGGGCGUAAAGUGUGCGCAGGCGGCCGAGCAAGUCGAGUGUGAAAGCCCCGAGCUUAACUUGGGAACUGCGCUCGAAACUACUUGGCUAGAGUGUGGCAGAGGGAGGUGGAAUUCCACGUGUAGCGGUGAAAUGCGUAGAGAUGUGGAGGAACACCAGUGGCGAAGGCGACUUUCUGGUCUGUAACUGACACUGAGGCGCGAAAGCGUGGGGAGCAAACAGG